RNAcentral lists this ribosomal RNA (329 nucleotides) under uncultured eukaryote. Its description in RNAcentral is "partial 18S ribosomal RNA". It matches the Rfam family "Eukaryotic small subunit ribosomal RNA", at positions 1470 to 1796 of the family's 1831-position model. The record is from RNAcentral.
CCCUUAGAUGUCCUGGGCCGCACGCGCGCUACACUGAGUGUCUGAGAUACGAGUCUGCCUGGUCCGGCAAGGUCUAGGUAAUCGCUAAAAGACACAUCAUGCUUGGGAUAGAUUAUUGCAAAUAUUAAUCUUGAACGAGGAAUUCCUAGUAAGCGCAAGUCAACAGCUUGCGUUGAUUACGUCCCUGCCCUUUGUACACACCGCCCGUCGCUACUACUGAUUGGAUGUUUAAGCGAGGUUCUCGAACUGCUAGCGACUUAGCUUCGGUGAGGUCGCAGUGUGGGAAGUGAACCUAGCUUUGGUGUCUAGAGGAUGUAAAAGUCGUAACA